AACGUAGGUUCCGAGCGUUGUCCGGAUUUACUGGGCGUAAAGAGCGCGCAGGCGGUCGUUCAAGUCGCGUGUGAAAGCCCCCGGCUCAACUGGGGAGGGUCACGCGAUACUGAUCGACUGGAAGGCAGGAGAGGGUAGUGGAAUUCCCGGUGUAGUGGUGAAAUGCGUAGAUAUCGGGAGGAACACCAGUGGCGAAGGCGACUACCUGGCCUGUUCUUGACGCUGAGGCGCGAAAGCUAGGGGAGCAAACGGG
RNAcentral lists this ribosomal RNA (253 nucleotides) under uncultured bacterium. RNAcentral describes it as "partial 16S ribosomal RNA". It matches the Rfam family "Bacterial small subunit ribosomal RNA", at positions 524 to 776 of the family's 1533-position model. The record is from RNAcentral.